GUUGCUGAACGAUGUGCGUCUGGACCUGAUGGCACUCAUACAUGCUCCUCCACAUGCCCAUCAAUCUGCAUCUCACAAGACAACAUUGUUGGACAGUGACAAGAUAGAGAAUGCAGCAGAGUGACCCUCAUGGUAGAAUACUUCAUUCUGAUGGAAAUGCGGCUAGAACGAAAUACUGGGAUUACAAUGAGACAUCUCAAGCCAAAAGAGGCUGCAGCACUGACAGAAUUAAGGACAAGAAGUGAAGAAGAGAAUGUCCUGUGAGAGAGCAAAGGAAAUGUUUGAGUAAAACAACAACUUUCAGAUGGCCACUGUACCUUAACCUCAAGAUAGAGCUUCUUCUCCCA
Long non-coding RNA from Musa acuminata AAA Group (dessert banana), 347 nucleotides. RefSeq lists it as uncharacterized. Lineage: Eukaryota; Viridiplantae; Streptophyta; Magnoliopsida; Zingiberales; Musaceae. The transcript has 3 exons. The record is from RefSeq and is a predicted model, not a curated record.